UACGGAGGGUGCAAGCGUUAUCCGGAUUCACUGGGUUUAAAGGGUGCGUAGGUGGGUUGGUAAGUCAGUGGUGAAAUCCCCGAGCUUAACUCGGGAACUGCCAUUGAUACUAUCAGUCUUGAAUAUUGUGGAGGUUAGCGGAAUAUGUCAUGUGGCGGUGAAAUGCUUAGAUAUGACAUAGAACACCAAUUGCGAAGGCAGCUGGCUACACAUAUAUUGACACUGAGGCACGAAAGCGUGGGGAUCAAACAGG
RNAcentral lists this ribosomal RNA (253 nucleotides) under uncultured bacterium. RNAcentral's name for it is "partial 16S ribosomal RNA". It matches the Rfam family "Bacterial small subunit ribosomal RNA", at positions 524 to 776 of the family's 1533-position model. The record is from RNAcentral.